UACUUUUGACAUUUAAUAUAUUAUGGCUUCCUGGGUUUCUCACAAUUAAUCAUGGCUAACAGUCUAUUAUAUAUGUUUUCAUGGAUUUGUGAGAUUUUAGUACUCUGGCAUGUGCAGAAAUUUAGAUAGAUGUAUGGCAUGUCGAGUGAUACAUAUCAGCGUUGUUCUCUCCUCUGGCUGAUGAUCCAGGAUAGGUAUCCUAUCAACAAUUCAACAUCCUCACCGUUGGCAUCCGACACAUCAAAGAAUAUGUAUGUAAUUAAUUUGAUUCCCUCUAUUGGUUGAAUAUGUCCAAUUUUGUGUAGCUUAGUCACGUGUCAUUCAUACAUGAUGCACUUGAGCUUUGAGUAAUCCACUUCUGCUUAUAGUUUUUUGCACCUUUUUCUUUUAGUUGAGUUCUUCAAUGAAUGGAGUGCUCAGCUUUGAGUUCUAGCACUUCAUGUUUUCGGGCAACAUGAGCACCCAUGGGUUAUAAGCUGUUAUAUGAUUGGUUCCUUUUUUUAGAUACCUGAUCAUCGAUUUGUAUUUAAUUGACACCUAUGCCACACUUUCGACAACAAUCAACGAAGUUUGAUAUAUUAAGAUAUUAACCUUUGGGUUGUUGCAACGGCAUCAUCUCUGUUUCAGGUAUGUGAUCAUUAAUCAUCAUGAUGAGUUCACAUUUGUGACUAGGAAAAUCCAUUUUUUCCACAAGACCUAAGCAAUUCAAAUAUUUUAUAUGGAUUUUUAAUUGUAAUGAGACCCUAAUCACGCAGUCUCUCUGUAGCAGUUUUGCCUUAUCAUUCAAAAGUUCAUUGCGUUAAGAACAACCCCUUUAGUUAUACUUGUCAUUAUUUGUAAAUGUUUUAUAGCGUAAUGUCUUACCACCUACAUUUUCAAAUUUUAAAUGUAUAAACAGUUUGUACAUGCUUUUCAAUACUAGCCCGUGUAGAUGCACGGGUUGACGACUAGUUUUAUUAAUUUCCCACACCUACCUUUUUUUUGAGAUAGCUUACCAGGCUUGCUGCCUAGUAUUUCCCACACCUACCUUCACAUGUCUAAACAACACUCACCGACUCCUAUAUAUUUGACCCCGGUUGAACGCUAGGAAAGCUAGUCCAUCAUCUCUCAUCGAUCCAUGCUUUUUACAUAUCCAUAUAACUCCCUCUUGACCAUUUUCAUAAAGUAAGUAGAUUUUCAAUUCACAUAAACAGAUGAGAUCAUGUUGAGACUGAAAAUCAAGAUAAUAUUAGUAAACACGUAUGACUGGGAGACACAAGGAAAUAAACAAAUAUAUCAAUAAACACUUGGGCAACCAGGAGCAUUCAUGUUGCCGAGUUGGAUUUUGAGCUUGGCGCAAGCUAGAAAUAACCUAGUGCACUCUUGACUUGGGUUUUGUGUGAGUCAUGUUGUUUGACUUGUUCGUUCCACGGGCCAAAUCCAGCUUCUCCCAAGCUCGCUAGUCAUUUUUUAGCCCGAGCAUACCACAAUAAGCGAGGUCCGACAGACUAGAGGGCUAUGUCUUCAACAUCUUAUAGGCAAUGUUUUAUAUACUUUAUCCACAUUUCUUGGUUGAUAUCACUUAUUGUUUGUCAUGGGUGAGGGCCAGUUCUCUCUUUGUUAUUUCAAAUCUCAAAAGGGUUGUCGUGUGGUGUUUUGGCAUAAUAGCGAGUGGAUGCUCAAUUUUCCCAUUUAGAGGGAGCCACACUAAUAUUAUAGAGUUACGUGGACACGUUUGCACGCGAGGAGAAGUAAAGCCUCCAUGAAAAAUCGACAUCCUUAGCGUCAGGUUUUCCUGAAGUAGUGAGACCAAAGAUCCAGAUCAUGGAUCAAAAGUUGCAGGAAGGUAACACUACUGAUGUCUUGGCCUCAAAAGGUUUUGGAUUUUCUGGCGUCCCAAAUCUUCUAUAUGAUGAGAGGUAAAAUAGUGUGCCACUUAUGAAUGUCAAGGGUUGAUCAUAGAUCGCAUCCCAAAAGUAGAUCGAUGUUGGAAGAGGGGCAGAUGUUGAGCUUCUCCUAGAUUCUGAGGGUGAACGUGCGACGGAGGAAGAUAUGAGCAAUGUCUUCCUUGCACAUGGUAGCACUUGGGGCACUGGUUUUGAGGAGUUAAACUAGAAUUACUUGAACCUUUAG
Molecule: long non-coding RNA, 2112 nt
Filed under: Hordeum vulgare
Lineage: Eukaryota; Viridiplantae; Streptophyta; Magnoliopsida; Poales; Poaceae
Description: long non-coding RNA (HVUL_LNC017445)
Source: RNAcentral